UAAUACGUAGGGUGCAAGCGUUGCUCGGAAUCAUUGGGCGUAAAGCGCGUGUAGGCGGCCACUUAAGUCUGGUGUGAAAGCCCGGGGCUUAACCUCGGAAGUGCACUGGAUACUGGGUGGCUAGAGGAUGGGAGAGGGAAGCGGAAUUCCUGGUGUAGGGGUGAAAUCCGUAGAUAUCAGGAGGAACAUCGGUGGCGAAGGCGGCUUCCUGGCCCAUUACUGACGCUCAGACGCGAAAGCGUGGGGAGCAAACAGGAUUAGAUACCCUGGUAGUCCACGCCCUAAACGAUGGAUACUAGUCGUCGGAAUUCCCAAUAGUUUCGGUGACGUAGCUAACGCGUUAAGUAUCCCGCCUGGGGAUUACGGUCGCAAGAUUA
Molecule: ribosomal RNA, 377 nt
Filed under: uncultured bacterium
Lineage: Bacteria
Description: bacterial SSU rRNA
Rfam family: Bacterial small subunit ribosomal RNA
Source: RNAcentral